This 1171-nucleotide long non-coding RNA is filed under the name Anas platyrhynchos platyrhynchos (common mallard). Its description in RNAcentral is "lncRNA (ENSAPLG00000026980.1)". The record is from RNAcentral. Lineage: Eukaryota; Metazoa; Chordata; Aves; Anseriformes; Anatidae.
AAAUCCAAGCGGUAAGAAUCUGGAUCUUCUCUGUGUAAUCUGCUUCUAGCCAUGCAAAGGUUGGUCUGUGCAUGGUCCCGCUUAAUCCAAGCGCCUGGAAGCCUCUGCGGAAUCAGGACCUGCAAAGCAGAAGUGGAAAAUGGGAAAACUGAGAUUCUCAUGUAUUUUUAAGUCUCAGUUGGCUAACGUGAGAAGGAAAAUUUGAAUACGACAAGACUACUCUGACAUUUUAGAGAAUUUUCCUAUUAGGAAUUGGAUAAACGGAAGUAAUGUGUCUGUGCUGUUUUGUGUACAUGGGUUAUUGACAGUCACUGCAAGUGCAUGACUGAGAUAGGUAGGCCAGCUGUUGUUCUAGAAGUUUAUAAAUGUUCAAACUUUAUUGUUUGUUUUGUAAUCUCCAUUUCUUAACAUCUGAUAUUUCUUUUUUUAUCUAACUGGUGAUCUUACUACUGUGUAUGAUUAAAUGAAUUACUUUGUCUUGUAAUGUUGCCUGGCAAAACCAGGCACAUUUUGAUGCAAGUUUGUUUCUUUUUAGAUUUAUAUCUGCUUAGGUAGCAUUAUUGCUGUUGAACUAGCGCAUUUUAUUUUCUUCAAUGAUAUGUGAUCAGAAAAUGAAAGGGAGAAAACGCAUCAAAUCAAACAUUCUUUGUAUAAACUCUGUUUCAACAUGUCAUUGCAAUAGCUAACGUUGGGCAGUGUUGGACUGUGGAAUAAGCGGGGCAAUUUUUCAUAGCUCUGAAGAUGUUUGAGUGGAUACUGGAGGUCUAGCUGUCACAAUUGUAUAGUUUCCCUGGCCUGUAUGAGUGCCUUGGCAGCUAUGUUCUGUUGCAAGACCUUGUAUAGGACUAUGUUUACAUGUCUUUUAUCUUUCAAACUUCAGCCUGUGAGGUGUGGGAGAAAGAAGCUAACAGUCUGAUUUAUGAGUCAAAUUUUUUGGAGGUGUGCAAGAGUAGUUAGUGAAGAUGAAACGAAAAAAAAAAAGAUGAAGAUUGGGGAAUGGAAUGUUUGGUGUUGGUUUUAAUUAGAAUCAUCCUGUUCAUCACUCAUACCAUGAGAUAAAAGGGGAGAAAUAUCCAUUAAUAUCGUACAUGCAGAGAGAAAAUAUUUGUAUUAUAGUGAGUGAGCAAUUCUAAUUGGCCUGCCAAAUAUAACUGAAUUGAAAUACAGACCU